Molecule: ribosomal RNA, 510 nt
Filed under: Rhodococcoides fascians
Lineage: Bacteria; Bacillati; Actinomycetota; Actinomycetes; Mycobacteriales; Nocardiaceae
Description: bacterial SSU rRNA
Rfam family: Bacterial small subunit ribosomal RNA
Source: RNAcentral
GCGGCGAACGGGUGAGUAACACGUGGGUGAUCUGCCCUGCACUCUGGGAUAAGCUUGGGAAACUGGGUCUAAUACCGGAUAUGACCACAGCAUGCAUGUGUUGUGGUGGAAAGAUUUAUCGGUGCAGGAUGGGCCCGCGGCCUAUCAGCUUGUUGGUGGGGUAAUGGCCUACCAAGGCGACGACGGGUAGCCGACCUGAGAGGGUGACCGGCCACACUGGGACUGAGACACGGCCCAGACUCCUACGGGAGGCAGCAGUGGGGAAUAUUGCACAAUGGGCGGAAGCCUGAUGCAGCGACGCCGCGUGAGGGAUGAAGGCCUUCGGGUUGUAAACCUCUUUCAGCAGGGACGAAGCGUGAGUGACGGUACCUGCAGAAGAAGCACCGGCUAACUACGUGCCAGCAGCCGCGGUAAUACGUAGGGUGCGAGCGUUGUCCGGAAUUACUGGGCGUAAAGAGUUCGUAGGCGGUUUGUCGCGUCGUUUGUGAAAACCCGGGGCUCAACUUCGGG